GGAAAAGAAACCAACAGGGAUUGCCUUAGUAACGGCGAGUGAAGCGGCAAAAGCUCAAAUUUGAAAUCUAGCACUUUCAGUGUUCGAGUUGUAAUUUGAAGAAGGUAUNCUUUNGGAGUNUGGCCCCNGUCUAUGUUCCUUNGGAACAGGACGUCACAGAGGGUGAGAAUCCCGUGCGAUGGGGAGACCAAUUNCUAUGUAAAGUUCCUUCGAAGAGUCGAGUUGUUUGGGAAUGCAGCUCUAAGUGGGUGGUAAAUUCCAUCUAAAGCUAAAUAUUGGCGAGAGACCGAUAGCGAACAAGUACAGUGAUGGAAAGAUGAAAAGAACUUUGAAAAGAGAGUGAAAAAGUACGUGAAAUUGUUGAAAGGGAAGGACUUUUGAUCAGACUUGGUGUUUAGUACUCUCUACUCCUUGUGGGUGGGGCUCUUGCUUUAUACUGGGCCAGCAUCGGUUUGGGUGGCAGGAUAAUGGCANUUGGNAAUGUGGCUUCAUUCGUGGAGUGUUAUAGCCUUUGUUGAUACUGCCUAUCUAGACCGAGGACUGCGUCUUUUGACUAGGAUGCUGGCGUAAUGAUUAAAAGUCGCCCGUCU
Molecule: ribosomal RNA, 590 nt
Filed under: Nakazawaea ishiwadae
Lineage: Eukaryota; Fungi; Ascomycota; Pichiomycetes; Alaninales; Pachysolenaceae
Description: partial large subunit ribosomal RNA
Rfam family: Eukaryotic large subunit ribosomal RNA
Source: RNAcentral